UUUUUCAAAUGAUGAUACUUCCAUGCACCACUCUGAAGCUUUUAUUAGCAUUGUGCAGAUUAUGGAUUUCUGAAUAAUG
Molecule: small nucleolar RNA, 79 nt
Organism: Drosophila melanogaster (fruit fly)
Lineage: Eukaryota; Metazoa; Arthropoda; Insecta; Diptera; Drosophilidae
Rfam family: Small nucleolar RNA Me18S-Gm1358
About the family: Me18S-Gm1358 is a member of the C/D class of snoRNA which contain the C (UGAUGA) and D (CUGA) box motifs. This family directs 2'-O-methylation of 18S G-1358.
Source: Rfam